GACGAACGCUGGCGGCGUGCCUAAUACAUGCAAGUCGAGCGGACCGGAUUGGGGCUUGCCUUGAUUCGGUCAGCGGCGGACGGGUGAGUAACACGUGGGCAACCUGCCCGCAAGACCGGGAUAACUCCGGGAAACCGGAGCUAAUACCGGAUAACACCGAAGACCGCAUGGUCUUCGGUUGAAAGGCGGCCUUUGGGCUGUCACUUGCGGAUGGGCCCGCGGCGCAUUAGCUAGUUGGUGAGGUAACGGCUCACCAAGGCGACGAUGCGUAGCCGGCCUGAGAGGGUGACCGGCCACACUGGGACUAAGACACGGCCCAGACUCCUACGGGAGGCAGCAGUAGGGAAUCUUCCGCAAUGGGCGAAAGCCUGACGGAGCGACGCCGCGUGAGCGAAGAAGGCCUUCGGGUCGUAAAGCUCUGUUGUGAGGGACGAAGGAGCGCCGUUCGAAGAGGGCGGCGCGGUGACGGUACCUCACGAGAAAGCCCCGGCUAACUACGUG
RNAcentral lists this ribosomal RNA (501 nucleotides) under uncultured bacterium. Its description in RNAcentral is "partial 16S ribosomal RNA". It matches the Rfam family "Bacterial small subunit ribosomal RNA", at positions 28 to 507 of the family's 1533-position model. The record is from RNAcentral.